This 155-nucleotide non-coding RNA is filed under the name Eubacterium sp. RNAcentral's name for it is "SAM-I sequence". It matches the Rfam family "SAM riboswitch aptamer (S box leader)". From Rfam's summary of the family: The SAM riboswitch is found upstream of a number of genes which code for proteins involved in methionine or cysteine biosynthesis in Gram-positive bacteria. The record is from RNAcentral. Lineage: Bacteria; Bacillati; Bacillota; Clostridia; Eubacteriales; Eubacteriaceae.
CCCUUAUUUAGAGCGGUGGAGAUACAUAGGAUCUGAGAAGCCCGGCAACCCCUUAUAAGUGAUGUGUGGAUAUGAAUUCAUGUUUAUAUCCGUAUCACAUUUAUAUAUGAGAAAGGAAGGUGCCAACCUGAGCGAGAUUAUUCGAACAAUGAGAG